CCAUACCAACAGGAGGCAACCCGGUGGUCUCCAUCAAAUCUAGAUCAUCAGGCGCUCACAACAGGAGGCCACCCUGCGGGCUGCGAUCAAAUCUAGACUGUCCGGUGCGCAACGACGAGAAGCCAACCUGUGGUUAACGGUAACGGUAACGGUAGGUGUACACGGGGUCGCCGAUCUCCCAUUUACCCGGCUAACAGAAAUAGAAUCAGGAUCCAUAUAACAGAAUCAGAAUAUAACAGAAAUCAGAAUCAGGAUCCGUAUAACAGAAACAGUCUCACAAACCCAUGGUGACCCACUUCAUCCCAACUCCACACAAACAAAGCAUAGC
Molecule: long non-coding RNA, 328 nt
Filed under: Jatropha curcas
Lineage: Eukaryota; Viridiplantae; Streptophyta; Magnoliopsida; Malpighiales; Euphorbiaceae
Description: long non-coding RNA (JCUR_LNC000658)
Source: RNAcentral